Long non-coding RNA from Calypte anna (Anna's hummingbird), 170 nucleotides. RefSeq lists it as uncharacterized. NCBI's taxonomy places the organism in Eukaryota, Metazoa, Chordata, Aves, Apodiformes, Trochilidae. The record is from RefSeq and is a predicted model, not a curated record. The transcript has 3 exons.
GAGACAGAGCUGGCGUGCUAAACCCCGAGGAGUAUAGCUGGGCAGUGAAAACUUGCCAGUUUCUAAAACAGAAGAUUUUUUGUGGCCACCCAUUUCUCUUGAAGGGGAGGAAGAAGUCUGAGUCAUCUGGAUUUCCUUGAUCAGCCCAUCUCAGUAACAGCACCAGCUGC